UGUAAAAUAAGCUAAAUUUAAGCUCUUGGGUUCAUGCCCCAAAUAUGAACAAUAGUUCUUUUACAA
RNAcentral lists this transfer RNA (66 nucleotides) under Purpuradusta gracilis. RNAcentral describes it as "tRNA-Met". Lineage: Eukaryota; Metazoa; Mollusca; Gastropoda; Littorinimorpha; Cypraeidae. The record is from RNAcentral.